This 492-nucleotide ribosomal RNA is filed under the name uncultured bacterium. RNAcentral's name for it is "partial 16S ribosomal RNA". It matches the Rfam family "Bacterial small subunit ribosomal RNA", at positions 29 to 507 of the family's 1533-position model. The record is from RNAcentral.
AGUGAACGCUGGCGGUAGGCCUAACACAUGCAAGUCGAACGGCAGCACAGUAAGAGUUUGCUCUUACGGGUGGCGAGUGGCGGACGGGUGAGGAAUAUAUCGGAAUCUACUUUUUCGUGGGGGAUAACGUAGGGAAAUUUACGCCAAUACCGCAUACGAUCUACGGGUGAAAGCAGGGGAUCUUCGGACCUUGCGCGAUUGAAUGAGCCGAUGUCGGAUUAGCUAGUUGGCGGGGUAAAGGCCCACCAAGGCGACGAUCCGUAGCUGGUCUGAGAGGAUGAUCAGCCACACUGGAACUGAGACACGGUCCAGACUCCUGCGGGAGGCAGCAGUGGGGAAUAUUAGACAAUGGGCGCAAGCCUGAUCCAGCCAUACCGCGUGGGUGAAGAAGGCCUUCGGGUUGUAAAGCCCUUUUGUUGGGAAAGAAAAGCAUCAGGUUAAUACCCCGCUGUUCUGACGGUACCCAAAGAAUAAGCACCGGCUAACUUCGUG